AUAUCAAUAAGCGGAGGAAAAGAAACUAACAAGGAUUCCCCUAGUAACUGCGAGUGAAGCGGGAUGAGCUCAAAUUUGAAAUCUGGGAAGUUCUACUUCUCCGAAUUGUAGUUUAAAGAAGUGUUUUCUGAGGCAGCUUGGGUAUAAGUUCUUUGGAACAGGACAUCAUAGAGGGUGAGAAUCCCGUCUUUGGCUCAAGUACUGUCGCUAUGUGAUACACUUUCAAAGAGUCGGGUUGUUUGGGAUUGCAGCCCAAAAUUGGUGGUAAAUUUCAUCUAAGGCUAAAUAUUGGCGAGAGACCGAUAGCGCACAAGUA
This 316-nucleotide ribosomal RNA is filed under the name uncultured fungus. RNAcentral's name for it is "partial large subunit ribosomal RNA". It matches the Rfam family "Eukaryotic large subunit ribosomal RNA", at positions 40 to 350 of the family's 3401-position model. The record is from RNAcentral. Lineage: Eukaryota; Fungi.